Molecule: transfer RNA, 73 nt
Filed under: endosymbiont of Sipalinus gigas
Lineage: Bacteria; Pseudomonadati; Pseudomonadota; Gammaproteobacteria
Rfam family: tRNA
About the family: Transfer RNA (tRNA) molecules are approximately 80 nucleotides in length.
Source: Rfam by way of RNAcentral
GUUGAUAUAGCUCAGUUGGUAGAGCACAUUCUUGGUAAGAAUGUGGUCGGCAGUUCAAAUCUGCCUAUCAGCA